GACGAACGCUGGUGGCGUGCCUAACACAUGCAAGUCGAGCGGAGUCAGUAAGAGGAAGUUUUCGGAUGGAAUCUUAUUGAUUUAGCGGCGGACGGGUGAGUAACGCGUGAGCGACCAACCUUGCACAGGGGGAUAACGGACCGAAAGGUUCACUAAUACCGCAUGAGACCACGGGGUUGCAUGACACAGGGGUCAAAGGAGCAAUCCGGUGCAAGACGGGCUCGCGUCCGAUUAGGUAGUUGGAGGGGUAACGGCCCACCAAGCCUAUGAUCGGUAGCCGACCUGAGAGGGUGAUCGGCCACAUUGAAACUGAGAUACGGUCCAAACUCCUACGGGAGGCAGCAGUGGGGAAUAUUGGGCAAUGGGGGAAACCCUGACCCAGCAACGCCGCGUGAAGGAAGAAGGUUUUCGGAUUGUAAACUUCUGUCCUUGGUGAAGCGAAGAAGACGGUAGCCAAGGAGGAAGCCCCGGCUAACUACGUGCCAGCCGCCGCGGUAA
This 498-nucleotide ribosomal RNA is filed under the name uncultured bacterium. RNAcentral describes it as "partial 16S ribosomal RNA". It matches the Rfam family "Bacterial small subunit ribosomal RNA", at positions 28 to 523 of the family's 1533-position model. The record is from RNAcentral.